CCCUUAGAUGAUCUGGGCUGCACGCGCGCUACACUGAUUGUGCCACACUGACUAUUAUUCCUAGGGCGAAAAGCACUGGGUAAACAGUAAACACAUAUCGUACUUUGGAAUAAAUUGUUGUAAUUCGUGAUUUUGAACGAGGAAUUCCUAGUAAGUAACAGUCAUCAACUGUUGUUGAUUACGUCCCUGCCCUUUGUACACACCGCCCGUCGCUACUACUGAUUGGGUGUUCAAGCGAGAUUCUUUGAUUUUAAGAUGAAUAAUUCGAACUUGUUUAGAUUUAAAGAAGAGUAUCAAGCUUCUGCAUUUAGAGGAAGUAAAAGUCGUAACA
Molecule: ribosomal RNA, 331 nt
Filed under: uncultured eukaryote
Lineage: Eukaryota
Description: partial 18S ribosomal RNA
Rfam family: Eukaryotic small subunit ribosomal RNA
Source: RNAcentral